This 253-nucleotide ribosomal RNA is filed under the name uncultured bacterium. RNAcentral's name for it is "partial 16S ribosomal RNA". It matches the Rfam family "Bacterial small subunit ribosomal RNA", at positions 524 to 776 of the family's 1533-position model. The record is from RNAcentral.
UACGUAGGGUGCGAGCGUUGUCCGGAAUUAUUGGGCGUAAAGAGCUUGUAGGCGGUCUGUCGCGUCUGCUGUGAAAAUCCGGGGCUCAACCCCGGACUUGCAGUGGGUACGGGCAGACUAGAGUGUGGUAGGGGAGACUGGAAUUCCUGGUGUAGCGGUGAAAUGCGCAGAUAUCAGGAGGAACACCGAUGGCGAAGGCGGGUCUCUGGGCAGUAACUGACGCUGAGGAGCGAAAGCGUGGGGAGCGAACAGG